RNAcentral lists this long non-coding RNA (965 nucleotides) under Homo sapiens (human). Its description in RNAcentral is "HSALNT0186813". Lineage: Eukaryota; Metazoa; Chordata; Mammalia; Primates; Hominidae. The record is from RNAcentral.
CCCAGCUACUUGGGAAACCGAGGUGGGAGGGUUGCUUGAGCCCAUGAGGCUCAAGAUUGCAGUAAGAUAUGAUCACACUACUGCACUCCAGCCUGGGUAACACAGGAAAACUUUGUCUCUAAAAAAAAUAAUAAAAAAAGCAGAAUCAGCAGUUUUGUGACCUUAAAACAUCUAUCAGAGACAGCAUAGACCUGUCUGACCAGUAGACUAAAGCAAAAAUGCCUGAAUUAUAUUUAACUGACAAUUCUGAAGCUAUUUCUGUAACUGCCUGAUGGGUUCUUUCUGCCCGAUGCCCAAACUCAAUUCAUUGAAACCGUGGCAUUGUAGUAAAGAAAAAGUUUAACUGACGUGAGGCCAGCCCAUACAGGAGAACUGGAGUUAGCAUUCAAACCAGUCUCCAUGAAGGCUGGGAGGCUAGGGUUUUUUGUGGACAAUUUGGUGUGCAGGGGCCUAGGGAAUGGAUACUGCUGAUUGGUUGGAGAUGAAUCAUAGGGGUUUGGAAAACAGUACUCAUCCCCUGAGUCUAUAACACUUCUGGGUGGGGCCAUAGGACCAGGUGAGUCAUGAGUUAUGGAUCUGGGUGGGGUCAGUCUGUAAAACAUCUCAAAAAAACCAUCUUAGUUUCUACAAUAGAAUGUUAUCUAUAAGAGCAAUCAGGGAAGCCACAAAUCUUAUGACCUCUGGAAACAAGACCCCUGAGCAGUAUGGGAUUAUAGAAACUAUGCCUACAUGUUAGUGGAGUUCAGGCCCUCCCAUAAUCCUAUUCUUGUGGCCUUUCCUUAGUCUCACAAAGGUGGUUUUUGGUCCCUGAGCAACGAGGGGAUUAGUUUUAGGGAGGGACUAUUAUCCUUGGUUUCAAGUUCAACUAUAAACUAAAUUCCUCAGAAAGUUAGCAAGGCCUAUGAAAUGACUAAGGACAGUUUAGGGGUCAGAAGCAAGAUGGAGUCAACUAUGUCAGAUUUUUC